This is a long non-coding RNA of Leptidea sinapis, 419 nucleotides long. RefSeq lists it as uncharacterized. The record is from RefSeq and is a predicted model, not a curated record. The transcript is spliced from 3 exons. Lineage: Eukaryota; Metazoa; Arthropoda; Insecta; Lepidoptera; Pieridae.
CUUCGUGGUGCGCGGCCAGCUGGCGGCGGCGGGGCUGCGCGGCGAGCGGGUGGUGCGGCUGUACGCGCCCGCGCCCGCCGAGAUCACGGCCUUGGCCUCGCACCCGCUGCGCGGGGAGAUCUACUGGGCCAUAUCGGAGCGCGGCGCGGAGAAGAUCGUGCGCGCUCGCGGGGACGCAACCGCCCGCACGACGCUCGCUGACAACAACAGUGAUGUGCAUUUUGGCGGCGUCACAGGUCUGGCGGUAGACACGGCUCGCUCCACACUGUACUGGGUCAACGCGGCCUCCGCCACCAUCCAGUACGUGGACCUGCGCACGGCCCGCCUCGCCACGGUUCGUGCACGAUGCACGACGCACCAACUACUGCGCAUGGUGCAUGACGCACGCAGGCAUGGCAUGACUCAGCUUUAAGGGUGCC